RNAcentral lists this ribosomal RNA (429 nucleotides) under Pseudomonadota bacterium. RNAcentral's name for it is "Proteobacteria bacterium partial 16S ribosomal RNA". It matches the Rfam family "Bacterial small subunit ribosomal RNA", at positions 355 to 776 of the family's 1533-position model. The record is from RNAcentral. Lineage: Bacteria; Pseudomonadati; Pseudomonadota.
UGGGGAAUAUUGGACAAUGGGCGAAAGCCUGAUCCAGCCAUGCCGCGUGUGUGAAGAAGGUCUUCGGAUUGUAAAGCACUUUAAGUUGGGAGGAAGGGCAGUAAGCGAAUACCUUGCUGUUUUGACGUUACCGACAGAAUAAGCACCGGCUAACUCUGUGCCAGCAGCCGUGGUAAUACAGAGGGUGCGAGCGUUAAUCGGAUUUACUGGGCGUAAAGCGUGCGUAGGCGGCUAAUUGAGUCGGAUGUGAAAUCCCCGAGCUUAACUUGGGAAUUGCAUUCGAUACUGGUUAGCUAGAGUGUGGGAGAGGAUGGUAGAAUUCCAGGUGUAGCGGUGAAAUGCGUAGAGAUCUGGAGGAAUACCGAUGGCGAAGGCAGCCAUCUGGCCUAACACUGACGCUGAGGUACGAAAGCAUGGGGAGCAAACAGG